CGAGGCGGGGCGGGCCAGCCCCCGGGGGCUGCGGGCGGCUGGCCCCGGCCCGGCGGCCGGCCGAGCCCCGCAAGGGGCUCCCCGGGCCGUCGGAAACCGUCGUGGGACCGGCGGCUGCCGGAGCGCCGGGAGCGGGGGGCCCGGCCCGGCAGUGCGGGCGCCGGCGGACGGGCCCGGCAAAAGGGCGUUCGUGGAGGGGCUGGGUGGGGGCGGGACCCCCGGGGCAGGGCGCGGGGGGUGCCCGGCUCGCUCCCCUGCCCUGUGGGCUCUCGAAGCCUCUCCGAAUUGCUCUCGCUCGACAGCUCCAGCCUCCGUCUGUCCCAGGCAUUUUUUAAGUGCAUCGGUCUCAUAGGUAGCCUCUCGAAAGAUGACGUGCAGGAGGAUGCCGUGGCGCGGUUCUGUCGAAUGCACAGGGCACAGACCGUGGUGCCCUGACACGCGCAUGAGGCAUCAUGCUGCUCUGGGGAGGGUGGGAGGUGUAACAGUUCCGCUGCUCAUCAGAGACCAACACAGGGAGUUUCGGAUGGCAAAGAAAGAAGCUCCUAAGUGUGCAGUUUAAGCUGCUGCCUCCUCCUCUCACUUCGUCAGACGUACCUUGACAGUCCCCUGCUUUUUUGCUGAUAACUAUAUUCUCUGGUGACAUGUGAGGGAAGGAUCCCAAGAGACAGAAAUCGGAUCAGAAGUCUUGGUGGUUUUAGGCUGAGUGUUUCAAGCUAAGUUAGAAUUUGCUAGCUCUGAUGCUCAAUGAAUAUGCUGGAGGUAGAUCUUCUUCACCAGAGACACAUACAAGAGCCACUGACAUCCCUCUGAAUGGACCAGGGCAUCCUCUGGAAAAAAACAAGAAAGAGCUAAGCGCAUUCCUCUGCCUGCCCUGACUCUGCAGCCCCUGUGAGGCAAGGCUGAAUUCACAAUCCUUGGAUAGUGGUGUCUCUUCUACAUCACAGAACAUUUC
Molecule: long non-coding RNA, 952 nt
Organism: Tyto alba (common barn owl)
Lineage: Eukaryota; Metazoa; Chordata; Aves; Strigiformes; Tytonidae
Exons: 5
Source: RefSeq, a predicted model, not a curated record